CAGAGAAGGGGACAGGAAAGGGUGGAGAACGAACUUUUAUCACAGUUUCCUUUACACUCUUUUCUUCUCAUUCCCGUGAGUGUGAGUGGAACUGGGUUUUGUUUGUUUUUGAGCCCUAGUUGUUGUUAAUUUUAAAAUAUUCACCCAGACCUUGCAAAAUCUUCUAAUGGCAAGUCUGAUUGGAAAGAAAUGUUCAGUCCUUUAACACAGGAAAUUCUAUAAUUACAAGCUGGUAUGCUGCAAAAGUUUAUGUGUAAGAUGAGCACUGGAACUUCUUAUUUAUUUAUUUAUUUAUUGGCCAUGCUUGAAGCAUGUGGAAGUUCCCGGUUGGGGACUGAACCCACACCACAGCAGUAAUCUGAGCCACAGCAGAAAAAGAAACAAACAUUUACAGAGCAUUGUGCUGGCUACUUUUUUCUUCUUUUUUGUCUUUUUAGGUCCACACCCACGGCAUAUGGAGGUUCCCAGGCUAGGGGUUGAAUCAGUGCUGUAGCCACUGGCCUACACCACAGCCACAGCUACAUCUGUGAUCUACACUACAGCUCAUGGCAAUGCAGGAUCCUUUACCCACUGAGCAAAGCCAGGGAUUGAACUGUGUCCUCAUGGAUACUACUCAGACUCGUUUCCUCUGAGCUGUGAUGGGAACUCCAUGCUCUGACAUUUACAUGCUGUCUCACCCAAUUCUCAACAACAAUUCUCUGAGAGAUGUUUCCCCCAUUUUAUAGGAGAGAAAACUGAGGCGCAGAGUAAAGAAAACUGCCCAAGGCUAUCACUGCUUAAGAGGCAGAAUAACAAUUCUAAUGUUGGUGUUUCUGAUUCAAAAAUCUGUGCUUUUCCCACUACACUACUUUGACUUUCUCAAAGAGGUCAUAUAAUGUAUACAAAGGUAAAUUAAAACUCAGAGAGGUGAAGUAAUUUCUCAAUUUCAUAAGACAAAUUAAUGGCAGAUGGAACUAGAACUUCGACCUCUCAAAUCUUGGAUCAGGCCCUAUCUGUUACUUCAUACUUCCUCUUAGGCCUCGUCUGUUUGUCUUCCUGCACCCCAGGAUUAAAUCACAACCCUGAGAUUAAGACAAUGAGUGUGCAUCAGUGUGAGUAGCCUCCUCAUGCUCUUCAAUCCUGAGUUACAUUUAAAUCCUCAGGACAGCGUUGAGGUGUUUACAUGAAACGAAGAUUGCACCACGAAGAUUACACCGAUUCUGAUUUUAUUAAUAAAUUCAUUCUAAAACCAUGAUACACAGAAGCAAUUUUGGUGUCAGUUUUGAAAAAAUACAGGUAUUAAAAUUGAUAACAGAGGUAGUUACCUCUGUGGAAUAAAGCCAGAGAUAAGACUGAGAAGCCUAAAUAGGUAUUGGGUUAGUUCUACUGGUUAUGUUGGGUGAUGUGUAUUCUUUUAUUAGCUUUGCAACUAUAUGAUAUGUCUUCUUUAACUGUGUCAUAGGUUGCAUUGAAAAAAGUAUUAGAAAGAGAAAAAAGCUAAGCCACAUACACUCACCCACACUUCAUAUCACAGCUUCUACAACUAUGUGACCAAGGGCAAAUUACUUACUCUCUGAUCAUCACUUUUCUUAAUUAUAAAUAGGGGUAAUAGUAGCCAGGGUGCUUGUAAAGUAACAUGAGAUCAAGUAUGAAUAAUAAAACAUGGAGAAUAAUGUGAGAAAAAGAAUAUAUAUAUAUAUAUGUAUAUGUAUGUAUUUAUGUAUGUAUGAUUGGGUCACUUUGCUGUACAGUAGAAGUUGACAGAACACUGUAAAUCAACUAUAAUGGAAAAAAUAAAAAUCAUAAAAAAAGAAAAAAAGGAAAAAUAAUUCAUCUUCUGAUAGUAGCUCUUUCACCCCAUUCUGUGACAAUGAUACUGUGUUGCCAUUAUUGGAUUGCUUUCUUCUGCAUUGGAUAAAAGGGACCCUCAUUCAAACAUAAGACCAUAUAUAAUGUAUCUAUAUGUGGUAUUUAUAUCCCUUUUUAUGUAAACUUCACACACUGUUCCUUCAUGUCUUAUUCCCUUCCCCACCCCUUUCCCAUGAUCUCUCCUUGAUCCAAGACUAAAGACUCCCAGCACUGAAGAUCUGUGCCCAUUUAAAGGCUGUCAUGCUUAUCCCAGCUGUUCAUGACUGAGGAACGCACACAAUCCCUGUUAACCCAGCUUGAGCUUUAGAGCUCUGGGCCACCUCUGCAGACUUACCCCGCCCCACAUCUACACACAGGACAGGGAUCUGGGAAAACUAUUUGGCAUUGUCUGCAUUAGCCAAGAACAUGUCUGGUUGUCUCAUCCCAGAAUGCCCUUCCCCCUUCAACAGCCUUCUCAUCCUUCAAGCCCAAAUUGAAACACUUCAUUUGGGGGGAAGCUUGAGGAAUGCACACAAAUCCCUGUCUCAAUCAAAAUGAACAUCUUCAUCUUCUGAGCUCCCCCUGUGCAUUGCCUUUCCAUUGCCUAUUUGGCACUCACAUCAUCUGGCCUUGUGGCACAGAGGGAAGCACACAGGUAAAGCCCAUGGAGUGGUAUGUUCACCAGACAAGGGAGAACCUCUUGUAUGUCUCUGAACUCUCAGUCUCUAUCCACAACUACCAGGAACAGAAGACCCUCAAUACAUAUGUUUGUUGAACUGAACUCUUAACAGGGUACAGAAACUGUUUUUGCUUCCCUUUGAGUCAUGCACAGCUACCAGCAAUUAUACACAUUCCUUAGAUGAGCUCAUGUGAAGUUAAUUAACUCUCCAACUCAGCAGGUUAUCAGAACUGAAUGUACCCAACUCAUCUACAUGCUAACAUAAUAAACAAGCUAUUUCCCCCACGACAUUUCUAAUGGGACCUCUGAAAGAAACUUCCUGCUAGCUGUAUAACUCAAGUAUCUCCCAAAUAGAAGAUUCGAAGCUCAAGGGCUUUUUAAAAGUAAUAAUAUACCUAACCUCCACAAAUACCUUAUCUUUCAAAGACAAUUUUGCUCUACAUCAUUUCAGGAGAAAAUGCAACAUUUAUUAAUUUAGUUUUUUACCCUCAUAGAUUAUAGUCAUGCAUAGUUCAACAGCUGAAUAGGGUAAGGUUUUAGCUGAAUACAAUAAACUUCAAAGGUUAGCGGCUCUCUUUUUAUAUCAGUGGAAUCCUGGUACUGUUUUGGAAGAGUCUUUAUGACUCACCUUCAAUUUCCAUCCACUCAUAGAAUAAAACCACCAUGAAAUAGUGGUUGGAAAGAAGGAUUUAAAAUCAAGCUUCAACCAUGGUAGAUUCAAAAUCCAGCCAAUGCCAGCCAAAUAUGAGCUCGAAAGUGCUCAUAAGAAGAGAGUAGGGUUUACAAAACAAUCCUCUUUGAUGAGUUAAGCACAAGUGAAUCAGAAACAUAUGGGUUAAAUUCCCCUUGAAAUACCCAUGGAUUUAAAAUUAAGUGGAAAAGUGCUUGGCACGGCAUAAAUUCCAAGCAUCUGAAAUGUAGUUAAAGAUCAUUUUCUUUGAGACCUUAACAAGAGUUUCCCUGAGAUUUCUUGCACAAAACGCCAGGUACUUCUUAUGUCAAUGGCAGGUACUUUUCACAGCAAAGGUAGUGGACAGAAGAGUCUCAUCUGAAUUCCAGUCCUGCCCACCAGCGGCACUCUGCCACUCGGUUCCUUCAAGUGUCAAGUGGAGAUGAGAGCUUCUUACAUGGUUGUCAAAGUUUAGGUGAGAUACUAAAUCUUAAAUAUGCAAAAUACCCAGAAGGGUCCCCAGUACAUAGUUUUUAUUAGUGACAUUUUAAAAAUCAUCACCCAGAAAGGGGCUGAUGAUACAGUAACUCAAGCUUCUUAAAGUAAUGUCAAACAUCCAAGUAAGAUAAAUUAAUAAGAAUCACCUACCCCAUCUUCCAGAUUUUUUUUUUAAGGAUGCACUUAUUUGUAGCAGACUGUACCAAUGAAGGAAGGGCUUUGAGGUUCCCAAGCCCAAGACUAAGAGGUGGGUGGAAUGCAUACUACAAAACUAUAACAGAGAGGGUCUGUGUUUUGUGGAAGGAAGCAGUGUGGUAAGUGGAAAGAUUGGUACUUAGAAUCAGAAUCUCCAUUCAUUCAAGGGUUUGUUAAUAUUACACGAAUCUCUGGCUUUUAGGAUCAGAAAGGUCCUACCUUUUCUUUGUAGAUGAAAAAACUUAUGAGGGCAGGGAAAUGAUUUUCCCAAGGUCACACAGCUAGUGAAAAGCUGAGCCAGCACUAGAACUCAUUUCCUGCCUCCUAGUCCAGUACUAUUCUCACUAAAUCAUGUUACUACUCUGGAUAGGAGCCUGAUAAACUCUGAUGCCAAGUGGCAAUUGGUUUCUCCUUCAGGGGAGCAAUGAAAGGGGCAGCAGAGUCCUUUUUAACCUUGGAACAUGCCAGAGAUGGCGUCAAGAAAGCCAGGUUUAAACCAGGUCAGCCAGAAGGGUUUGUCUAAAGCACAGCUGAGCAAGCUCCACUCAAGCCAGGAUUCCGUCAGUACAACGGGUGUGUCAGCAACAAAGUUGAGCGAACCAAGCUCAAGCCAAGUAUUCAUUGAGAAGGCUAGGCAAGAUGGGUCCAGGUUGGGGAAGGGAAGAGAAAAGGAUCAGGUGAAAUUGUAAGGAAAGAUACUAGGUGACUACUGCAUUCUUCUCUAUAGCGUCUUUUCUCCACUGGGGCUGCUCCCAGCACGUACUGCUGUUUG
RNAcentral lists this long non-coding RNA (4641 nucleotides) under Sus scrofa (pig). Its description in RNAcentral is "lncRNA (ENSSSCG00040045931.1)". The record is from RNAcentral. Lineage: Eukaryota; Metazoa; Chordata; Mammalia; Artiodactyla; Suidae.